This 2156-nucleotide long non-coding RNA is filed under the name Sus scrofa (pig). RNAcentral describes it as "lncRNA (ENSSSCG00005038370.1)". The record is from RNAcentral. Lineage: Eukaryota; Metazoa; Chordata; Mammalia; Artiodactyla; Suidae.
AGAAGAUGUGGUACAUAUAGACAAUGGAAUAUUACUUAGCCAUCAAAAGGAAAGAAAUACUGGCAUUUUUAGCAACAUGGAUGGACCUAGAAACUACCAUGCUAAGUGAAGAGAGCCAUACAAUGAGACACCAACAUCAAAUGCUUUCACUGACAUGUGGAAUCUGAAAAAAGGACAGACGGAACUUCCUUGCAGAACAGAUGCUGACUCACAGACACUGAAAAAUGUAUGGUCUCCGGAGGAGACAGUUUGAGGGGUGGGGGGAUGUGCUUGGGCUGUGGGAUGGAAAUCCUGUGAAAUCAGAUUAUUAUGAUCAUUAUACAACUACAGAUGUGAUAAAUUCAUUUGAGUAAUAAAAAAAUGAAAGAAAAAAAAAGGAUACUUAAGUGCAGCAUUGUUUGUGAUAGUGGUUUUGGAAUCAACAGGACAAUCCAUGAGACAGUGGCAGGAUCAAUAGGGUAUAUUCAAACAAGUGAAUAAGAGGCAAUUGAUGAUAAGAACAAGGAAGUUCUUUGUGUAUGAAGAGAAAGGUCCCUAAGAUCUACUGUUAAGUGAAAAAGGCAAGGUGCAGAACAGAGUUUAUUAGGUAUCAUUCACUGAGUGACUCCUUUAAAAUUUUUAUUUCUGUGUCAAAAUCAGAGUAAAGGGCAAGAAAUUUUGUUUCCAAAGGGCCAGAGGGGACAAAUUAUAACCAGAUCUUCUUAAGGGGUAAGGCCUAAUCUUUGCCAAGACAGUCAGCCUAAGGACUGAAGGCAGAGUCAGGUUUUGUCGGAAGUGAGAGGGCCUUCAUUAAGAAAAAAUGUAAAAUUAAAAAUAUAAACUUUGACAUAGCAGUUCCCUGGGGGUGUAGCAGGUUAAGGAUCUGGCGUUGUCACUGUUGUGGUUUGGGUCACAGCUGCAGUGUGACUAUGAAGUUCCUGAUCCCCAAACUUCUGCAUGCUCUGGGUGUGACCAAAAAUAAAAUAAAAUAAAAAACCUGGCACAAAUGUGAAUAUUUAUUCAAAAUGAGAAAGUAGAGUUCCCACUGUGGCUCAGUGUGGGUAUCCACGAGGAUGGAAGUUCCAUCCCUGCCCCUGCUCAGGGGGUUAAGGAUCUGGCAUUGCCAUGAGCUGUAGUAUAGGCUGCAGAUGAGAGUCAGAUCUGAUGUUGCUGUGGCUGUGGCAUAGGCUGGCAGCUGCACCUCCGAUUUGACCCCUACCCUGGGAACUUCAGGGAUAGCCCUGAAAGCACUAAAUAAAUAAAUAAUAAAAAAUAAACAAAUGGGACCUAAUCAAACUUAUAAGCUCUUGCACAGCAAAGAAAACCAUAAAUAAGGAGUUCCCGUCGUGGCGCAGUGGUUAACGAAUCCGACUAGGAACCAUGAGGUUGCGGGGUCGGUCCCUGCCCUUGCUCAGUGGGUUAACGAUCCGGCGUUGCCGUGAGCUGUGGUGUAGGUUGCAGACGCGGCUCGGAUCCCGCGUUGCUGUGGCUCUGGCGUAGGCCGGUGGCUACAGCUCUGAUUCAACCCCUAGCCUGGGGACCUCCAUAUGCCGAGGGAGCGGCCCAAGAAAUAGCAACAAUAACAACAAAAGACAAAAGACAAAAAAAAAAAAAAAAAAAAAAAAAAAAAAAAAAAAAAGAAAAGAAAACCAUAAAUAAGAAAAAGACAACCUAGAGAACUGGAGAAAAUAUUUGCAAACAAUGCAACCAACCAGGGCUUAAUUUCCAGAAUAAACAAACAGCUCAUACAAUUCAGUAUUAGAAAAACAAACAACCAAAUUGAAAAAUGGGCAGAAGAGCUAAAUAGACAUUUUUCCAAAGAAGACAGAUGGCCAAAAGGCACAUGAAAAGAUGCUAUAUCAUUAAUCAUUAAUUAUUUGAGAAAUGCAAAUCAAAACUUCACAAGGGAUAACUUCACACGGGUCAGAAGGGCCAUCAUUAAAAAAUCUACAAAUGGAGUUCCCACCAUGGCGCAGUGGGUUAAGAAACUCCAACUGCAACGUCUUGGGUCACUGCUGAGGUAUGCGUUCAAUCCCUAGCCCAGUACUUUGAGUUAAAGGAUCCGGUAUUGCCACAGCUGUGGCACAGGUUGCAGCCACAGCUCAGAUUCAAUUCCUGGCCUGGGAAUUCCAUAUGUCGCAGUGUGGCCAUUAAAAAAAAAAAAAAAAAAAAAAAAA